AGAGUUUGAUCAUGGCUCAGAACAAACGCUGGCGGCGUGCCUAACACAUGCAAGUCGUACGAGAAAGCUUCCUUCGGGGAGUGAGUAAAGUGGCGCACGGGUGAGUAACGCGUGGGUAACCUGCCCUUGGGAUUGGGAUAACUGACCGAAAGGUCUGCUAAUACCGGAUACGCUUCCCAAUUUUUCGGAUUUGGGAAGGAAAGAUGGCCUCUCGAAGAAGCUGUCGCUCAAGGAUGGGCCCGCGUCCCAUUAGCUUGUUGGUAGAGUAAUGGCCUACCAAGGCAACGAUGGGUAGCUGGUCUGAGAGGAUGAUCAGCCACACUGGAACUGAGACACGGUCCAGACUCCUACGGGAGGCAGCAGUGGGGAAUAUUGCGCAAUGGGCGAAAGCCUGACGCAGCAACGCCGCGUGAGUGAAGAAGGCCUUCGGGUUGUAAAGCUCUGUCAGGUGGGAAGAAGGAUCACGGAUGAAUAGUCCCUGAUCGG
This 486-nucleotide ribosomal RNA is filed under the name uncultured delta proteobacterium. RNAcentral describes it as "bacterial SSU rRNA". It matches the Rfam family "Bacterial small subunit ribosomal RNA", at positions 8 to 471 of the family's 1533-position model. The record is from RNAcentral. Lineage: Bacteria; Deltaproteobacteria.